This 252-nucleotide ribosomal RNA is filed under the name uncultured bacterium. Its description in RNAcentral is "partial 16S ribosomal RNA". It matches the Rfam family "Bacterial small subunit ribosomal RNA", at positions 524 to 776 of the family's 1533-position model. The record is from RNAcentral.
UACGUAGGGUGCAAGCGUUAAUCGGAAUUACUGGGCGUAAAGCGUGCGCAGGCGGUUUUGUAAGACUGUCGUGAAAUCCCGGGCUUAACCUGGGAAUGGCGAUGGUGACUGCAAGGCUAGAGUUUGGCAGAGGGGGGUAGAAUUCCACGUGUAGCAGUGAAAUGCGUAGAGAUGUGGAGGAACACCGAUGGCGAAGGCAGCCCCCUGGGUCAAAACUGACGCUCAUGCACGAAAGCGUGGGGAGCAAACAGG